GACGAACCGUGCGAACGUUGUUCGGAAUCACUGGGCUUAAAGGGCGCGUAGGCGGCCGCACAAGUCAGGGGUGAAAUCUUUCGGCUCAACCGGAAAAGUGCCUCUGAUACUGUGCGGCCCGAGGGAGGUAGGGGCGGACGGAACUUCCGGUGGAGCGGUGAAAUGCGUUGAUAUCGGAAGGAACGCCGGUGGCGAAAGCGGUCCGCUGGCCCUCUACUGACGCUGAGGCGCGAAAGCCAGGGGAGCAAACGGG
RNAcentral lists this ribosomal RNA (253 nucleotides) under uncultured bacterium. RNAcentral's name for it is "partial 16S ribosomal RNA". It matches the Rfam family "Bacterial small subunit ribosomal RNA", at positions 524 to 776 of the family's 1533-position model. The record is from RNAcentral.